GCAGCGACUUUCCUCUUUGGAUAGUUCGGCGGCCUCACACACUUGCACUGCCUUCGCCAAACUGAGGUCGUCGGUCCGCAGCAGACGGUCUCGGACGGUGUUGCUCGCUAUUUCACACACUAUCCGAUCCUUGAUCAAGCUAUCAGUUAGAUCACCAAAGUCACAAUUUUGACUUAGCAACCGCAACGCCGUCACAAAUUGAUCAGUUGUUUCACCUUGCUCUUGAUUGCGUGAGAAAAACUUAAACCUUGACAUUGUGAUAUUAAGUUUGGUACCAAAGUGCGCAUCAAAUUUUGUCAAGAGACAUUUAAGGUUAUGAUCACUUUCAUCCUUGAGAUAUGUGAAUGUACUAUAAAGAUCUCGUAGCCACUCGGACCGAUGGGGAUAUCGAACAAACUCGCCUGAAUCUCUUCAGACUCCUUGCUCACCCCGGAUGCUAUGAGAAACACCUCGAACUGUUUCCGCCAUUUUCGCCACGCGUCGGCGCGCGCGGCUGGACCACCUUCGACCGCUAAUUCACCAGGAGGACGCGCGUGUUCCAUUAUUAUUAUCACAAACGGUUUUAAUGAUCACGUAAUAGACACUGAGAUCAAAAUACGCGGUGAUGUCUCAGAUAUUUAAUAAAAUUUAAGCACCGCUGUCACCAUGUUGUGAAACACACGCUAGUUGGUUUAACACUGAUUUAUUUUCAAAUUACCCUCCAUAAGUACAUAAUAAUACCACAGGUUCCAGAACGUGAGCUGAGAAACGAUUUCAUAGCUAAAACGCCAUGUUCCAAAAUGAACUCAGGAGAUAUCCAGUGCGCAGUGAAGCUCAAAAAGCUCAAUAUAUCAGAUGUCACUGAUACUGCUGUUGCCUGCGAAAUACUGGCUUCUAUUUGAGACCAAAUUCUGUUGUAUAUGUCAGGAAUAACUUUCUCGGUCAUGAAAGUGCGACCAGGUACUCUAUAAUGGGGCACAGCGGUUCCACAAGUGAUAAUGGUUCGUUUUCUAAAGCAAUCAUUUCACCAAUCAAGUAAUGAUAUUUUAUAGAUUUCGGAUCAUUAAUGUCCCACAACAAUUUCCUCUCUGAUGUUUCUUUCAGGGUUAGCUGUCGUUCUCUUGAUCUGGACGUUCACGAUUUCUAUCUUACCAAUGCGAUCGGAGUCAAAUUGACUUUCAAUUCCUUCUACAGACAACAAUAUCAUGUUUUUGAUUUUUUCCUCAAUAGGGGUAAGAGGAGGAGCAGCACUAGGGCCCACCUCCUGUACGAUAGGUUUCAGCAUGUAUCAAAGCAGACUUUUGUCUUGUAGCCAUCUUUAAGCCUUCGUAUUUAGCUUUUAAAGUUUUAACGCUGCGAAACUUUAGCCCACUUGUGCUAUUAAACAGCGCCUCCAGCGUCUUCCAGCACUGCUCUUUCUCCUGCCAGGUGGCUAAGUCAAUCUUUUUAUUUUCCAAUACAUUUUUAUGUUCAGCAACAAGCGAAGUUAGAAGCUCAACUUAUUCCCGGCUGAAAUUGGCCCUUCUUUCACGUUUUUGCGUCGAAAUUUUUUUAAGUUAUAGAAUCAACCACUUUCGAAUCCCAAAAACAACACACACAAUAUUAAUACUCGAUACCGAACUAAAAUACGAAAAUACUCAAUAACCUAACAUACAAAAAUACCAUGUGUGUUAUGUUUUAAUUUAGCUGAGCAGAAAAAAAGUAACAAGAAUAACAAACUUUAUCUUUUAUAUUCUUUCCACCAAAGGCGUCUUUAACAUUAGACGGUCGCAGAAAAAUAUUACAAAAGACAAUUUAAAUUAUAUCUUUACAUCGUGGAUAUUGGACACCUCAGAUAUUUUUUUAUUUUAGAUACUGUAGAGAUUUGUUAACAUUUUCUUUAUAAUCCCUUACAUUACAUUUGUUUUCUUGCUUCUCGUGUUAUAUGUCUGUAAGUACUUGAUGUUCAGCCAACCAUAACCAUGAUUGUUCAAGUAAUGUGAGUAGGUACAUUAUGACCAACGUUCAAAUCAAUAACCUUAUGUUGUGGUUGCGUUGGUAAUAUAUUAACAACAAAUCCACAAUUUAUACAAACUGUUCGUAAAAUAAAAUGCACCGUGUCCCAAGGCCCAAACAAAUCAUUAUUUAACAAUCAUUGUUAAAAAUCUGAUCUAGUUAGAAAACCAUAUACGUCUAAAAAAAUAACCAUCUUGGGUUCACUUGAACGUAUACUAACAGUAAGUAAAUACUAAGACAACUGAGUACUGUCUGUUUAGUCGAAUAUUUCGAUUGUGCCUACUUUUAAAAGUUUACGCAUCGGAUUACAUUGUAUGGGUUAAAAAGUAAUCAAAUGCGCAGUCAGACCUAAAAAAGUUGUCAAGAGCGGGAUUGGGUUCCGAAGAUGAUGAUUACGAUGAUCACAAUAUCAAGCCAAAAACGUAUAAAAACAAUUAUUUACCUUUCUUAUUAUGUACUUAUGUAUUACUACGAGUAUAAGGUACUUAUGUCAUGUCAACAUGGCACUUUAUAAUCACAGUAAGUAAAAUUAUAAACCUCCAAAUUAAGUCUUGUAAUAAUUUUUUAGUUCUACCUUACAUAUAACAAUAAUCAGCCUUGCAAUGAGUUUCUUUAUCAAUGAAUUUACAAAGUUGAUGCAAACAAAAGAAAUAGUAUCUCCUGUGAUACAUCCCUCAUGUGCCCACAUCUUAUAUACAAUACAUUCUACCCAAUCACAUUUUGAAUGACUGUACGCUUCAUCGCAAACAAGACAAUGCCAAUCUUCCGAUUCUGAAUCUGAACUUAGACUCCUUUUUUCCAUUUUUAUUUUUCGCAGAUUUUUUAACUUUUCCUUUCCCCUUUCGCUUUUCUUUAUCAUCUUUUUUGCUUUUUCUUAAUAUUUUAGGCGUCUCUGUCAGAACAGCAGACUACUUUUUUCGUUUGCAAUUUGUAUUUGUUUUUCGUGGUGGCGCGUUUGGUCUAAUCAUCGAUGGGGAAAAACUUGGAGUUGGUUUGUUCGCAGUUUCAAUGUGGCGUAAAAUUUCUGUUGAUUGAUUCUUGAUUCUGUGCUUUAGGACUUCCUAAUUCUGGGUGUCGUUUGAGAAGUAACCUCAACCAUUUAUUUCAUGAUGUCUUAUUUUCUUAAUUCGUUUGCUAUAUGCUGGCCAUAACUGAAAUAUGAAUCAUCAGCUUGUGACGUUUCAGUUAAAAUUUUAAACGCUUCUGUCAACAUUUUAUCGUCCUCUUCUUCGUGUUUCCUUUUCUUUGAGGUCUUCUUUGUAAUUUUUUCCGGUGCUUUUUGAAUAGUAUCAUUCAAUUGUUCUUGUGUAUUACACUCUUGUGAAGAUUUUUCGGAAGACUUGCCUUCAUUUUGUGAUGUAGAGUCCUGAAAUAUAAACAUGCAUUUAAUUAACUUUGUAUUUUAUAAUUAUACAGAUACCCACAUCCGAGAAAGACUGGUUGGAGAUUGCUUAAGAAUUUCAAGAAAAAUAGGAUUUUCCUCAUGCUGUAGGUGCCAUGGAUGGAAAACACGUAAUGAUACAAGCACCUGGUAACAGCGGCACGGAAUAUUAUAACUACAAACACUUUUUUAGUAUCGUACUGUUUGCUCUCGUAGAAGCUGACUAGAUACGUUGACAUUGUUUCCCAGGGUAGACUUUUGGACGGAGGGAUCUUUAAACGCACUACAUUAUACAAAAGACUCGAAGAAAAGUCCAUGAAAAUACCUCGGCCAUCGAUACUUCAAAUACCAUACACCCUAACAGUUCCAUACGUUAAUCUGGCAGACAAAGCAUUUGCACUAAACGAAUACACAAUGAUACCGUUUCAAGGGGAGCCAGAGAGUGGAUCUGUAGAAAGAAUAUUUAACUAUCGUCUGUCAAGAGGGCGUAGAGUAGUGGAAAAUGAUUUUGGAAUAGCAAGCUCGGUUUUUAGGGUUUUAAGGAAACCUAUGUUACUAUCACCCAAUAAAGCUACAAAAGUAUGUAAGCUGUUAUACACUUGCACAAUAUUUUGCGAAAGAGGUGAAACACACAUAGAAACAGAAACUGGAAUCACACCAGGUAGUUGGAGAAAUGACGAUGAACAUUCAUCAUUACUCCCUCUCACUGAUGUACCACGUACAGCUGGGAAUGACGCAAAAAAAUACGUUUACAUCUCGCUCAACAUUUUGCAACUAACGGAGCAAUCCCUUGGCAAAAUAGAUAUUGAAAUUAGUAACAUUAUUCACCUGCGUAGCACCUGUUGUAUCAUUAGACGUAUUAUUCCCAUUGUCUUGCACAGUAUCUAUUGUAAAAUUUGGUGUACAUUUGUCUUGCAUAAAAUUGAAGUCGUCAUAACCAAACCAUUUUGAUACGUAAAUACUGUCCUGACCUGUGAACAAUCAACCAAUAAAAUAUUAACAAAUUAACUGGAAAAAGAGUGUGUGACCGCGGCGCCAUGAACAUUGGCUGUCCAGUGUAGUUGAUUGGGAGCUCAUUAAAACAUCCAUCAGUCUUCCGUGAAGAGACAUAAACAGGCCUGCAUUUCACUAGAUGCACUUGCUCUCCCAUGACUAUGGCUGAAUAUCCUGGUUCUUGUUUGUAUGUAUAAGCGAACUCCACUGGGUCUAUGGUAGCCAACGACAAUUGGGUUUGUAGUAGAGCUCUACGCGUCUUACACUGCUCUUUUACCAGUGUUUCGUACAUUGUACUAAUCUCGUGCCGCAUAUGAUUCUCAAUGUGUGUGAAUUUCGCAUUAACAUACAAGAACACGUCCAUGUUGUUGGCUGUCAAUUUACUCUGCUCGAAGUAGAAUAAUCCAUUCUUCACUUCCUGGAUCAAGAGCUUAGGAUGGUCAGUCACUAUCACAGUUAUCCCGCAAAUCACUUUUGUUCCCUUUUCCAAUAGGGUAGCUAAGAACUUACCGUCUUUCACUGAAUACAUCGUGUAUGCAUCUUGUUGGUUGUCGGUUGACUUGAUCGUGAUUUUAGUAACUCGACCUCUAUAUAAAACUAAGUAAGAGUCUCUGGAGCACUGUUCAUUUGACAAGAUAUCCCAUGUGACUAGUCCUUCAUAUGUGUCCAUACAGAAACUAUUGCUGUAUUUACAAGACAGUCCUGUUUUAGAGAUCACCAUGUCAUCUGAGAUGCGGUAAGUUCCUAGAGCAUCACUUAACUUGAUAGUUACUUUGGCGACACCAACCACAUUAGACCAAUGAUGCGGCCCAAGAUUUAGUUCACCACCUGUACAUUUUCCAUCAGCAUUGAUCCAGCCUGCUAAGUUCAAGGUAGUAGUCAGUGUAGAAUUCCUCUUGAGCCCUUGGAUAGUCUUACCGUAUAUACUCGCUUUUCCGUCCUUAUGUAUAGCCUUGCAUUCUUCUGCAGUCAUGUCUUGAAUGAGGACUCCCCAUCCAUUUUUGACUUCAGAUAAAUGCGAAUGCAUUCCACAAUAAGUAACAUGAUAAUCGAUCUCAAUAAGACAUUGGUAAAUCUGGACAUCGUAGGUUUCACGUUCCUGUAACACUUGAACUUCCAUGUUGUCCUGUAUACUCUGGGUCUUGUAGUUUGGACAUGGAGAGGUGUCAAUAAGAGAGAUUGAGGUGAUAUUCAGUUCUUUCCCAGCACAAUCAUAAGCUAGCAUAGCAUAACAAAUGUUGGUUGUAUGCCACCAGACUAGACAUACGAUAUACAAAAGCUUAACUGAUGACUGGUGCAUGGUUGACAUAGACCAGGACUCACAAACUGACAAGUACAAAACGAAUUAACGAGUUGGAGUUUUAAAGAAACUUAAUUAUUGUUGUAUCUUAUAAUAGGUAUGUUGUCACUUCUAGCUACUGUGAAAGGCUUGUACAAACUUUUUAAACUCUAUUACAGUCCACUACGAUUACUUGUUUACAGUUUACUCACGGUGGGCGGAGGUGAUGUACAUUCUGUCCAUGGAGGGCGGUAUGUUUAAACAUAUUAUAGUUCUAUGUUCAACCAAUAGAUGUCGUCUGUGGUUGCUUGAAUCGCGGUAUGUUUAAAUUAUUAUAGUUUUAUGUUGAACCAAUAGAUGUCGCCUGUGGUUCCUUGAAUCGCGGUAUCGUUAUGAUUCAAAAAUAGUAUAAGUAUCUCAAUUGUUUUUGUAUUAAAUCGUCUCAGCCUGGG
Pieris napi is the source of this 6079-nucleotide long non-coding RNA. RefSeq lists it as uncharacterized. NCBI's taxonomy places the organism in Eukaryota, Metazoa, Arthropoda, Insecta, Lepidoptera, Pieridae. The record is from RefSeq and is a predicted model, not a curated record. The transcript is spliced from 2 exons.